Molecule: ribosomal RNA, 492 nt
Filed under: uncultured bacterium
Lineage: Bacteria
Description: partial 16S ribosomal RNA
Rfam family: Bacterial small subunit ribosomal RNA
Source: RNAcentral
AGCGAACGCUGGCGGUAGGCCUAACACAUGCCAGUCGAACGGCAGCACAGUAAGAGCUUGCUCUUGCGGGUGGCGAGUGGCGGACGGGUGAGGAAUACAUCGGAAUCUACUUUUUCGUGGGGGAUAACGUAGGGAAACUUACGCUAAUACCGCAUACGACCUACGGGUGAAAGCAGGGGAUCUUCGGACCUUGCGCGAUUGAAUGAGCCGAUGUCGGAUUAGCUAGUUGGCGGGGUAAAGGCCCACCAAGGCGACGAUCCGUAGCUGGUCUGAGAGGAUGAUCAGCCACACUGGAACUGAGACACGGUCCAGACUCCUACGGGAGGCAGCAGUGGGGAAUAUUGGACAAUGGGCGCAAGCCUGAUCCAGCCAUACCGCGUGGGUGAAGAAGGCCUUCGGGUUGUAAAGCCCUUUUGUUGGGAAAGAAAAGCAGCAGGUUAAUACCCCGCUGUUCUGACGGUACCCAAAGAAUAAGCACCGGCUAACUUCGUG